Molecule: non-coding RNA, 956 nt
Filed under: Hyporthodus septemfasciatus (convict grouper)
Lineage: Eukaryota; Metazoa; Chordata; Actinopteri; Perciformes; Serranidae
Also listed under: 2 other names
Description: 12S ribosomal RNA
Rfam family: Bacterial small subunit ribosomal RNA
Source: RNAcentral
CAAAGGCUUGGUCCUGACUUUCCUAUCAGCUUUAACCAAAUUUACACAUGCGAGUAUCCGCACCCCCGUGAGAAUGCCCUACAGUUCCCUGCUUGGGAACAAGGAGCUGGUAUCAGGCACAUACCUCCAUAGCCCACGACACCUUGCUUAGCCACACCCUCAAGGGAAUCCAGCAGUGACAGACAUUAAGCCAAUGAGUGUAAACUUGACUUAGUUAUGGUUAAAAGGGCCGGUAAAACUCGUGCCAGCUACCGCGGUUAUACGAGAGGCUCGAGUUGACAGGCUCCGGCGUAAAGCGUGGUUAAGGGUAAAUUAAACACUAAAGCCGAACGCUUACUAGGCUGUUAUACGUACCCGAAAGUAAGAAGCUCAACUACGAAGGUGGCUUUACCUUACCUGACCCCACGAAAGCUAAGGCACAAACUGGGAUUAGAUACCCCAUUAUGCUUUGCCCUAAACAUUGAUAGUUUAAUACAAUCGCUAUCCGCCUGGGAACUACGAGCAGUAGCUUAAAACCCAAAGGACUUGGCGGUGCUUUAGACCCCCCUAGAGGAGCCUGUUCUAAAACCGAUAACCCCCGUUCAACCUCACCUUUUCUUGUUCCCCCCGCCUAUAUACCGCCGUCGUCAGCUUACCCUUUGAAGGCCCUUUAGUAAGCAUAAUUGGCACAGCCUAAAACGUCAGGUCGAGGUGUAGCGUAUGGAAAGGGAAGAAAUGGGCUACAUUCCCUGUUACAGUGAAUUACGGAUAAUACCACUGAAACGUGUAUCUAGAAGGAGGAUUUAGCAGUAAGCAGAAAGUAGAGCGUUCUGCUGAAACCGGCCCUGAAGCGCGCACACACCGCCCGUCACUCUCCCCGAGCGUAUUUUUUCAAUUUAACUCAAAACCUUUCGACAGCAAAGGGGAGGCAAGUCGUAACAUGGUAAGUGUACCGGAAGGUGCACUUGGCUAAAACU